AUCUGUGCGCUAUGUCUUCUCCUUUCAUGCAGACCCAGGAAACUUGGUUGAAGAUGGAAGUGUCUCAAGAUGGAAGGAACCUGUGUCCUGACCGACUGUGUGCAGUGGACCAUAUAUGCCUUUGGAGAAACAUGUUGGAUGGUGAUAUGAACACCAGUGAACAAAGUCAUUAUUCUGCCAGUUGAUCGUUUUGCAGUGAAAAGAGCCGGCUGAGUAUGUCCAUAUGAGUUUGCCAUUCAACAGGACUUUUCCUUCUCUGGCAUUCUGGUAGUAAGUACAUGUCUUGUGAUCUAAACUAAGGUGAAACUGAAAAAAAUCUUGUGUCUUAAAUCAUAGAGCAGAAGUCCAUAAUCUGAUAUGAAAUCAUGAAGAUAAAUAGUAUAUUUUGGGGCUAUUAGAUAACAUAGAUUCUCCAGUACCAUUUUUACCUCUGAAAUCACCUCCUUCCAUACUUCCAUUCCUUCUUUCUUCUUUUCUUCGCUCAUUCUUCAGCUAAAUGUUGGAGAAGGCUAGCGAGUCUCUUUAAUUAAAUUGCUAGUCCAGCUUCAUAGCUCUAUCCAAAAUUUUACAUGUCAUCUAUUCAUGGACACUUCAAAAUCUAGUACACCGAAAACUCAAACAAUGAUUUUUCACUCCAUUAUCCCUCCCAAAUCUUGUCUUUCUCUAGGAUUCCCAGUUCUAGUAAAUGACAUCACCAGUUGAACAAGCUAGAGAACUAAGAGUUAUCUUUGACGUAAUUUUUGCCCCCCUGCCUAAUUCAAUUAAAUGACAGUUCUUUUGAUUUCUUUACUUAAACAUCUCUCAUAUUAAUCUAUUUCUACUCCAUCUGCACUUAUAGCACAGCAUAUUAACCCACAGUACUGCAACCUUGUGCCUAAACUAUUGCACCUAGCUGGUACUGCCUUCAUUUUGGAACCCCUCCAAUAUAAUCUCCAUCCUCUAGCUGGAAUAAUCC
Molecule: non-coding RNA, 955 nt
Organism: Sus scrofa (pig)
Lineage: Eukaryota; Metazoa; Chordata; Mammalia; Artiodactyla; Suidae
Source: RefSeq, a predicted model, not a curated record